AAUCACCAACUGAUGCAUUUAAUACUUGGAGAAAAAGAAAACAAACAGUUACAAGCCAUCGAUCAUCGUCUGUCCUUACAAUUGUCUUUCAACAAUUGGCCGACCAAACGAAUCCUCGAGGAUCAUAGAAACAAUAAAGAAAACAAAAGAAAACUAUCAACAAAGCUAAAGAAAAGGGAAAAAAAAAAACCUAAAACAAGGAAACAAAAGGACCCUAAGCCUGAAAGCGUACUUUCAUCUUCAAGAAACUACCAUAACCCUUCCUUGCAUCAGUGAACCAUAAAGGCACCCAAACCAUCCUAGAUUUCCAAAUAUAGUCACUUUGUUCCCCAGCCUCCCCAUAUGCCAUAGAGUUCAUCGAACUAUCAGUCGCCUUUUACAUCCGGACUCAAUCGCCACAAACCUACUUUCCUUUUACAGGCCCCCUCCUCUCACGAUCAACGAGCCUUUCCACCUCCAUCGAGGCUUCCUCCAUCCAAUAAACAAGGUAAUCAUAUUUUUAGCUUUCUAUCACCAACCCAUGCGUCGUUUCAUUUGCCAUUCGAGGUACGAAUCUGAACUGUAUACUUCUAAAUUUGGCACUCUUCCCUUAAUAUCUUUUAUCAAAUUGCUUAUGUUCGAUCUGUCUUCUUUUGCAAAUUUUAGUUUUUUUUACCACCGUUAAAGCGUUUUCUUCUACGCAAACAUCUCUAAACCCCAGUUCCUCUGUGAAGAUGACUACCUGUAAACAUGCUCGCGCCUCUGCCAUAAUCGGAUUCAGAACAUUCUCCCAUGGUCGAGAAAACCACUCAUAUUUCCUACAGGACUUGCUUCGUGAAGACAUAAUCCCAUAAUAGGCUGGACAAAGAGUAUUCACUGCAAGCCUCCGUGACUUCAAUGCACACAACGUAGGCACAAAUUCAUUAGCUAUUUUCCAUAGAUUAAUACGAAUUUUGCUGGGAAUAUCAAUACUCCACAAUCUUGUAUAAAAAUUAAUUAGGUUCACAAAUUGCAAUGUAUUAUUACCUCCCAGAAAAUUAUCCCCCUCUGUAAUGAUCCACUUGUACCCAGUCUUCGUUGUAUACUCUCAUGUAUUAUCAUCCCUCCAGAUCACUUCAUUUGUGUGGACACUAUUAACUAGUGGAAUUAAUAAUAUCCUCUCCAACUGCUCGUCACCAAAUAAAUCUCGGAUAACAUCACGCUUCUAAGUAACCGCUUUCAUAUCGAUUAGAUAUGAAACAGUAGUAUAUCUAAUAUAAAUGUUUUGAAGUUGCACUCUACCAUCUCCAGGACUAGGUAACCAUGUAUUAUUCCAAAUGUUCACAACUAAACCAUCCCCAACCUUCUAGCCUAUACCAUUCUCUAGCAGCCUUCGGGCCCUCAAAAUACUCCGCCAAGUAUACGAAGGGUAAGAGCCCAAACAUGCACUUAUGAAAUCCCCUCGUGGAUAAAACUUUGCUUUCAUUACUCGUGCAAACAAACUAUUGGGCUUUGUAACCAAUUUCUAUCCUUGUUUCACUAAUAGGACCAUAUUAAACUUUGAAAGCUCUUUAAACCCCAAUCCCCCUUGCGCUUUGAGAAUGCACAUAGCACUCAAAUUGCACCGAUGUAUACCUUUAUUGAUUUUCGUAUUGCGCCACCAAAACUUGCACAUCAUAGUUUCCAAUUCAUGACACAAUGUAAUAGGAAACAUAAAUCUAACGAGCUAAUAGUUAGGGGUGUCGGAGACUGCAUUCCCAGGACUCCAUUCCUGUAAAUCGAACUUGUAAAUAUUUUAAUAAAAAUAUUUACUAAGUUAGUUGAGUAGUUAAUUAGAUUUUGGUUAAGUGAAUUUGGAUGAUUUAUAAGUUGUUAAGGUGUAGGGAUCAAAUUGUAUAAGUAUUAGAAGUUGAAUUAUAGAUUAAAAAUUAAUUAAAGGGACUAAAGAAGCAAUUAUACCUUUGUUCCAUUAAGUGGACAACAUUAAUGAUGAUUACAUAUAUAUAUGUUAACUUAUUAUAUAUUAUAUGUUAUAUUAUAUAAUAAGAAAUAUAUAUGUAUAUAUAUGUUAUAAUAUUAAUAAAAUAAAGUACAAUAAAACAAAACAAAAGAAAAAAGAGAACAUGCAAAUUAAAAAGAAAAUAAAGAAAGAGAGAAAAGCAAAGGAGAAAGAUGCAUGGCUAUAGGGACUUUAGGGUUCAUAUUCAAAAUUAGUUAGUCAAUUUAGUCCCUUUUUGUAAUUUUUAUAUUUUUGGAAUCUCGAUAUUUAGUACUACCCGACUCAUGUUGCAAUUUUAGCAUUGAUUAAGAUUUUAAAUGUUGUUAAUGUUGAAUAGUUUUAGUAUUAGGGAUUAAAUUGAUAGAUUUUAAGCUAGAAAUGGAAAUGGAUUAAAUUGUAGAACAAAUUGUAAAUUUUGAGUAAUAGGGACUAAAUUGUGAAAAAUUCAAAUUUUAGGGUUUAAUUGAAAAUAAGGAGCUAAAUUUAGCUUAAAGCAAAAUUAGUAUAAAAAUAUAGGAUUAAAUAUAAAGAAUAAAAAUUAGU
Molecule: long non-coding RNA, 2500 nt
Organism: Gossypium raimondii (Peruvian cotton)
Lineage: Eukaryota; Viridiplantae; Streptophyta; Magnoliopsida; Malvales; Malvaceae
Exons: 2
Source: RefSeq, a predicted model, not a curated record